AUUGAGGUGUAUCACGGUGGGUCCUUUCCUGUAGCUGCACGUUGUUGAAACACCCCAGAGUAACUUUGUGGUUUUGUUUCCCUCAAAGGAUUAUUAGGUCUCUGGGGAAAAUUUGCAAGACAGUU
Small nucleolar RNA from Sciurus vulgaris (Eurasian red squirrel), 125 nucleotides. The record is from Ensembl. NCBI's taxonomy places the organism in Eukaryota, Metazoa, Chordata, Mammalia, Rodentia, Sciuridae.